UAGCCCUUACCCCACCGAUUAAUAGUAUUAAUCUGUUAGGGCGGGGAAAGGUACUGU
MicroRNA precursor from Monodelphis domestica (gray short-tailed opossum), 57 nucleotides. The record is from Ensembl. Lineage: Eukaryota; Metazoa; Chordata; Mammalia; Didelphimorphia; Didelphidae.